Poecile atricapillus (Black-capped chickadee) is the source of this 402-nucleotide long non-coding RNA. RefSeq lists it as uncharacterized. Lineage: Eukaryota; Metazoa; Chordata; Aves; Passeriformes; Paridae. The record is from RefSeq and is a predicted model, not a curated record. The transcript has 3 exons.
CAAUGAUGCAAAUGAUGGGGAAAGGGCAGAAGGGAGAGACAUUUAACAUCAACUAAUUCUGUAAGUUUAGUUUUUAGAGAGCAUGAACAGAAGUCUGGGCAUGAAAGUAUUUGGAAGGAACAAGAUCUGGUGUAUCUUUGGGUCUUCAGGCUGCAUCUAUAACCCUUGACUCUCUCAUGGAAAAUGUGUCCCUCAAAGACUCCUCACAAGAGAGAUUGACUCAAGGCUGGUUUCAUCUUGACUGCAUUUUGUAGGACAGGAAAUAUAAGCAACAUUGACCUAAUCCUAUGACCUGAGGUAUGAAAAAACAAAUAAAUUAAGGGGAAAGAUUUGCAUUUGGCUGUUUGCUCGUGGGGUCAGUUUUAAGGAGUUAAUGGCCCCACCUCCUGCAGGACCUUGGAG